RNAcentral lists this ribosomal RNA (468 nucleotides) under uncultured bacterium. RNAcentral describes it as "partial 16S ribosomal RNA". It matches the Rfam family "Bacterial small subunit ribosomal RNA", at positions 28 to 507 of the family's 1533-position model. The record is from RNAcentral.
GACGAACGCUGGCGUCGUGCUUAACACAUGCAAGUCGAACGGAAAGGCCCUGCUUUUGUGGGGUGCUCGAGUGGCGAACGGGUGAGUAACACGUGAGUAACCUGCCCUUGACUUUGGGAUAACUUCAGGAAACUGGGGCUAAUACCGGAUAGGAGCUCCUGCUGCAUGGUGGGGGUUGGAAAGUUUCGGCGGUUGGGGAUGGACUCGCGGCUUAUCAGCUUGUUGGUGGGGUAGUGGCUUACCAAGGCUUUGACGGGUAGCCGGCCUGAGAGGGUGACCGGCCACAUUGGGACUGAGAUACGGCCCAGACUCCUACGGGAGGCAGCAGUGGGGAAUAUUGCACAAUGGGCGGAAGCCUGAUGCAGAAACGCCGCGUGCGGGAUGACGGCCUUCGGGUUGUAAACCGCUUUCGCCUGUGACGAAGCGUGAGUGACGGUAAUGGGUAAAGAAGCACCGGCUAACUACGUG